This 31-nucleotide non-coding RNA is filed under the name Mus musculus (house mouse). The record is from RNAcentral. Lineage: Eukaryota; Metazoa; Chordata; Mammalia; Rodentia; Muridae.
UGAGCCAAAAUAAAUCUUGAAGAUGUCUUGU